RNAcentral lists this ribosomal RNA (503 nucleotides) under uncultured bacterium. RNAcentral describes it as "partial 16S ribosomal RNA". It matches the Rfam family "Bacterial small subunit ribosomal RNA", at positions 30 to 523 of the family's 1533-position model. The record is from RNAcentral.
AUUGAACGCUGGCGGCAGGCUUAACACAUGCAAGUCGAGCGGGGUGAUGGUGCUUGCACUAUCACUUAGCGGCGGACGGGUGAGUAAUGCUUAGGAAUCUGCCUAUUAGUGGGGGACAACAUCUCGAAAGGGAUGCUAAUACCGCAUACGUCCUACGGGAGAAAGCAGGGGAUCACUUGUGACCUUGCGCUAAUAGAUGAGCCUAAGUCGGAUUAGCUAGUUGGUGGGGGAAAGGCCUACCAAGGCGACGAUCUGUAGCGGGUCUGAGAGGAUGAUCCGCCACACUGGGACUGGGACACGGCCCAGACUCCUACGGGAGGCAGCAGUGGGGAAUAUUGGACAAUGGGGGGAACCCUGAUCCAGCCAUGCCGCGUGUGUGAAGAAGGCCUUAUGGUUGUAAAGCACUUUAAGCGAGGAGGAGGCUCUUUUGGUUAAUACCCAAGAUGAGUGGACGUUACUCGCAGAGUAAGCACCGGCUAACUCUGUGCCAGCCGCCGCGGUAA